GGGGCUGACUGGUUUUGACAGCAUUGAAAGGAUUACAUCUUAGGCGGAGAUUAGGUACUACAUUCUCCUAAAUCUAUGUGUGCACAAAAACAAAGGACGAAGAUAAUUCGACUCCUGUUCUCUAUAUGAGAACCGAGUAUAGAGUAGCUGCGUAAGCAGUCUUGGGAACAUAAAACUCUGGUGUUUAUAACUGUAUCGCACCCUAACUAAUAUGGUUGUAGGUUUGUUUAUCCGAAUAUAAACAAAACAAUUCUCUGCUAUGGUAGUAAGACUAAGCUAUAGAUAAGCCUAUAACAACGUGUAAUAGAUACUUUGACUGGACGCGGGUUCGACUCCCGCCAGCUCCACCA
Molecule: transfer-messenger RNA, 350 nt
Filed under: Bacteroidota bacterium
Lineage: Bacteria; Pseudomonadati; Bacteroidota
Description: Bacteroidetes bacterium (permafrost metagenome) transfer-messenger RNA
Rfam family: transfer-messenger RNA
About the family: Bacterial tmRNA, also known as 10Sa RNA or SsrA, is named for its dual tRNA and mRNA-like properties. Its role is to liberate the mRNA from a stalled ribosome.
Source: RNAcentral